GAAUAUUGGACAAUGGGCGAAAGCCUGAUCCAGCCAUGCCGCGUGUGUGAAGAAGGUCUUCGGAUUGUAAAGACCUUUAAGUUGGGAGGAAGGGCAGUAAGCGAAUACCUUGCUGUCUUGAAGUUACCGACAGAAGAAGCCCCGGCCAACUCUGUGCCAGCAUCCGCGGUAAUACAGAGGGUGCAAGCGUUAAUCGGAAUGACGGGGCGUAACGCGCGCGUAGGUGGUUCGGUAAGUUGGAUGUGAGAUCCCCGGGCGCAACCUGGGAACUGCAUCCAAAACUGGCGAGCUAGAGUAGGGCAGAGGGUGGUGGAAUUUCCUGUGUAGCGGUGAAAUGCGUAGAUAUAGGAAGGAACACCAGUGGCGAAGGCGACCACCUGGGCUCAUACUGACACUGAGGUGCGAAAGCGUGGGGAGCAAACA
This 423-nucleotide ribosomal RNA is filed under the name uncultured bacterium. Its description in RNAcentral is "partial 16S ribosomal RNA". It matches the Rfam family "Bacterial small subunit ribosomal RNA", at positions 359 to 774 of the family's 1533-position model. The record is from RNAcentral.